Molecule: ribosomal RNA, 201 nt
Filed under: uncultured bacterium
Lineage: Bacteria
Description: partial 16S ribosomal RNA
Rfam family: Bacterial small subunit ribosomal RNA
Source: RNAcentral
UUCGGAUCGAAGUCUGCAACCCGACUUCGUGAAGCUGGAUUCGCUAGUAAUCGCGCAUCAGCCACGGCGCGGUGAAUACGUUCCCGGGCCUUGUACACACCGCCCGUCAAGCCAGGGGAGCCGGGGGUACCUGAAGUACGUAACCGCAAGGAGCGUCCUAGGGUAAAACUGGUGACUGGGGCUAAGUCGUAACAAGGUAAC